GGAAGGGUACUUUAAUGAGAAGAGUAAGUUUGCAUCUUACCAGUGAGGUCUCUCUCCUUCCU
Molecule: transfer RNA, 62 nt
Filed under: Myosotella myosotis (mouse ear snail)
Lineage: Eukaryota; Metazoa; Mollusca; Gastropoda; Ellobiida; Ellobiidae
Description: tRNA-Ala
Source: RNAcentral